CCUACGGGUGACAGCAGUGGGGAAUAUUGGGCAAUGGGCGCAAGCCUGACCCAGCAACGCCGCGUGAGGGAAGAAGGCUUUCGGGACGUAAACCUCUAUCGACAGGGAAGAGCAUAACACGGUACCUCUCGAAUACGCCACGGCUAACUACGUGACAGCAGCCGCGGUAAUACGUAGGUGGCAAGCGUUGCCCGUAUUUACUGGGUGUAAAGGGCGUGUAGCCGGGCGGACAAGUCAGGAGUGAAAUCCGGGGGCUCAACCCCCGAACUGCAUUGGAAACUGUGGGGCUUGAGUAUCGGAGAGGCAGGCGGAAUUCCUAGUGUAGCGGUGAAAUGCGUAGAUAUUAGGAGGAACACCAGCGGCGAAGGCGGCCUGUUGGACGACAACUGACGGUGAGGCGCGAAGGCGUGGGGAGCAAACAGGAUUAGAUACCCGAGUAGUC
Molecule: ribosomal RNA, 442 nt
Filed under: uncultured bacterium
Lineage: Bacteria
Description: partial 16S ribosomal RNA
Rfam family: Bacterial small subunit ribosomal RNA
Source: RNAcentral